AUCAUGGUCAUUUCUUGCAGUUCCUGUUCUUCCACCAGACAGCAGUGCUUGGAGGCUGAACUGUAAUUGCUCACAUCUGCUCAUUAGAUCAGAGAGUAGGCACCAAGGCCCAGCAUGCUGUCCAGGAAAAAUCAGUGCAGUUGCCAUCAGAAGAACCGGGAAAAUCAGAAGACAGAGGAAGACAACAUGAAGAUAUAAGGAAAAGGACAUGUGAACAUUAAGACCAACCGCCAUCCACAAGCCAGGGAGAAAUGUCUGGAACAGAUCCUUGCCUCUCAGCUCUCAAAAGGAACCGACUCUGCCAACAAUUUAAUUUUGAAUUUCUAGUCUUCAGAACUAGGAGAUAAUACAUUUCUAUUAUUCAAGCCACCUGUUCUGUGGCUGUACAUGUGAGAGAGGGUGACAGAUUCCCAAAGGGUCCUUCAAGAUGGCAGCAGAAAAGCCAGAGGUCGGAAUGCAAGAGAUAAGGGGUGAAGUCGAUGUGAGGGGCUAUCAGGAUGCACCUGCGAGCAGAGGUACUGGCUGCAGCAGUGUCUGCAGUGGAAGGUGAGCCAAGGGGAAGAGACAGGGUGCGGGAAGAAACUACCACAUCUCAACAUGUCAGUGCUAACCGACUUGUAGUGGCUGCUGGGAGUCUGGGAUUAAGAAGAAUCCAUAAGCUGAGUCUGGACUUAUCAGCAAAGAACCCCAUGUCCAUGAGGAAUGAAGUUGAGGAGGACUGUAGUGAACAGAGCCGCCGGAAAGCAGCACAACAGUUUGAAAAUGCUCUCACUCACAGGAAUGUUUAGAUUCCACUAUAAGAUGUAAUACAGAACAACAUUCUUUUGUCAGUGUCCGACAAAACAAAUCUUUCAUGAGUUGGAUUGGCAGAUAAUAACCAGUUCCUUUGGAUUCAUGUGCUUUCGAUCAAAGAGAAUAAACCAUAAGAAGAAUGGCAAUGAGUGUUUUCCACAUUAAUAUCAUCAGAUGGUGACAUGAUAUUGACUUUUCAGAGAAGGAAAAAGAGGUUUGUGAGUUAUGCAUAGUUCAUAGAUUUCUGAGUCUUAUAGCAUUCUGGACACAGGUCUUAUUCGAGCUACAUCCCCAUGCCAUAGAGCGUUGAGAAGGUCAGAUCCUAUGGUAUGUGUGAAGCUCCUUGGAUGGGAGAAGUAUACAUUCUUCUGGAUGCUGUUUGUCAUCUGUCCCUCAGAAUUCCUUCCCUGGCUUUGCCUCUGCCAACCAAGUGUGUUUUGUCAACACUUUUGCUGACUUCUUUCUCCUUCCUUCAGGCAUAAGCUACCCUAUUUUCCACAGCAAUUCUGUCACAACAAAGCUGCUAUUGUCACAGGAUUUUAAUAAAGAUUUGGGAAUAGUAGAAGGAUCAGAAUACAGAGGAGAAGCUAACUGGAUGGCUGACCUCAGUAUUCCUAAAGAACAUGGCCAGUUCUUCUCUAGGAGAACCCAUUAGUGGCCAUCUUUCUCUUCAGCCGUAAUUGUCUCGGGUUACUGGGGGGGUCUGCAAGUUCCCAUCUUCCCACUUCCUACAUUUCGUGGGGUCCCUAAUACUUCCUUCCCUUCUAGCUGCCAGGGGGGAAGUCAAGAAUCCUUGUAAUUUUAUCAUACAACAUACAAUCUGGCUUCUACCCUUUCUCAGUAUCUUCCUUCCAGACUAGCCCACAGGCCGUUCUUUACCAGAAUGACAAUAAGACUUGGAAAUAAAUCCUCCCAAAGAAAAGUGAUAAAUCCUGCUAACUGUUUAGAACACAGCUCCAGUGUUUUCACUUAAAAAAAAAUUUUAAAGGCAAUUUUAUUUUCCUCAUAUACAAACAAAACUCCAAUUUUCCAAAAUAGGCCUGGAUCUAAUUUAAGUUUGAAGCCUAUGGAAUAUUCUAGAGAAAUGUCAGAAUUUUGGAUGGCCACAGAGGCUGAGGCUGGUGGAAAAAAGAUUUUUUAAUGGAAGAAUAUUUAAGUUUAUCUAUAAGCCAGAACAGAGGAGGAACAUCAGGACAUUGUCCCCCUCCCCAGAGUACUGGAGAGAACCCAGCACCAGAAAUUGUAAUUAUGAUGAUUUUACUAAUGAAUCUUAUAGCUUAGAGAUGUGUAAUAAAGACACUGAAAUAAAGACAUUUUAAAAACAAAUUGAAUAUUUAACUAGGUAAAAGAAAGGGUGAGUGGAAGAAACACAGAACAAUAUUAUUAAUUAAAAAUCUUGAGUCAUGAACUAAGACCUUAAACCUUUUACUCUGGGAUUAGAAAGUCCAAUUAUUUCCCCCAAGAGUUUGCUUCCCACUCUAAGUUGCGAUGAAAUAAACUUCCUGGUGUGGGCGGUAGAAUUUGAGAGGAUUUAUUUCUUUUCAAGUUGAAGGGCAUUUGGAAAAAGCAGACCUUUGUUAUUGAUGCUCAAAAGCACUCAGGUGUUUUAUUUGGCGUCACUGAUGAUGAAUAAGAGAUUUUGUGUGACAGAGAAAGCUACCUGUCCUACCAAAUGUCAAAUCACAGCACUUUGGAGGGCCCUGGGUAGGGACAUACUUAUGCCAGGUGAAAAAUGGCAUCCCAAACCAUAAUGCAUGUGCUGAAAUUAAUUAAAAUUAUAGAGGAAACCUACGCAUCCACAAGCAAAUAUUGACUCUCUGAGAACAUUGCUAAUGUUCUCAGUUAGAGGUAAACUAGGAAGAAAAAUGGUCUUGAAAAAGUUAUUCUGAAAUUGGAUUAGUUUCCCAUUCAAGAAAUAUCAUUGUGUUCCCCUCAAAGUGAUUUUCCAAGUCAAUAAUGUUCAUAGAACUCUUCAUAAUACUUUGAAAUGACACAUUCUUUUGCAUAGCAUUCUUGCAGGAAAUUGAUUUUUAUUCUCCAAACACCAAAGUUGCAUCUGGCGUAGCCAGGAACUCGGGGACAGACGUCCUUGUGAAUAGAGUUUUGCCCGGUCAUUCCUAAGAAUGAGUCAGAGAACUGGCUCAAGCUAAGGAGUGUUGGGUUUGGGAUUGGCCAUGCUCUGGGCGUCAACCUCAGUGUGGGCCCUAUUGCCAAGUCUGCUGUUCUGAAAAUGAAAUGUGCUCAGCUCCUUGCAGAUAAUAUCCCCUCAUCUUUGCCACAGAGUCCUUGCACGGUGGUACCGAGUAAAUUCUGUGGCUUUGAUGGUCCCCAUCCAUCCACAUGUUACUUCUCAAGUCCCCCACCCUCCACAUCCUAUAAAAUGCCGUCUGUAGAAAUCUUUACUGGCACAAAUAUCACCCCAGGUUUCAAACCUGCUUCUGACUGGAAGGAUUCCGACUGGCCCUGUUCUGCGUGGUGCGGCCGGCCAGCAUCUAGCUUUGGCCCGGCUUGCAGGCUCACCAAACUCUUCCACCUGCUCUGGGUACUGUAGCCCCAGCUGAAGCCAUGCUCCCUCCUCCAGCCAGCAUGAGUUUCCCAGGCAAAGUCCUCCAGGUCAGCUCAGAGGUCUUGAACAUUCUUUUCUUGGAAGAGAGAAUGAUUACUUCAGCCUGGUUCGAGCAUUUAAGAAGCUGAAGUCAGCUCUGUCUCUUUCAGCCUUACUGUGAUCUGGUGGCUUCUUGCCUUGAGGAUGUGACUUACGCCACCGUGCCACCAACUAGGUCCUUGCCCCAUCUGCCUCGCAGCUGCAGCUGGGUUGGAGUCCUUAUCUUGACUACUCAACCGCUACCCAAGCUUCUCUGGGACUGACUGGAAGUACUGCUUAUUCUUAACCCUCCUCUCUAGUGAACAGAGACCUGUCCUUAGGUCCAAGUCCCCAUGUCUGAGUGGCUGACGCCCAUGACCAGACCCAGUCCAGGGUUGGUUUCCUUCCUAGUUGGUACUUUCUCCUUACUUCACUGUAGCCAGCCCCAUGUAGCUUGGCUGCUACCCCUCUCUGCCCACUUGCCUCAGCUCAUGUCAAUGGGCUAUCACUCUAAUGGCACCUUCUCCCUGUCCCCAGGGUCUUGCUGGCUCUCUGUCAUAGCCAUCUCUUUCUUUUUUAAUAGCACAUCAAUCCAGUAACAAUAAAAUUAUGUGAGCUUUAUUGAACACUUCCUAAGUACCAAUAUUUGACUUCUUAUCUCUAAGUCUCAGGACAUCUUCAGGAAUGUCUCAUCAUCCCAUCUUCAUGAUGAGAAAAACGAGUCUUGGAGACCAUCAAACCAGAAGGUCGCUGAGUUGGAAUUGGGCUGGAUCUGGCAUCAAAACCAAGCUCCUGCAUUUUACCAAACUGCCCCCCCCUUUGAGAAGAGUUGCUGCAUUUAAUCUUUAAACCUGACCAGUACUAUUAUGUUCAUGUACAGCUGAGUAUGCUGAGACUCGGGGACCUCAUGAGUGAGGAAGCCAAGACAUGAGUCAAAUCUGACUCUGGAAAUGUUCCUCUUUCCACUACGGGAUGCUGUCUUCUACAAUGGCACCUACUUUUUAAUAAGUUGCAUACUUGCUUUGUGAACACUCAGAGUUUACCCUGCUACCAUUUUAAGUGCCUCUAUAAUAAAGUCUUUUGUU
This is a long non-coding RNA of Mustela erminea (ermine), 4461 nucleotides long. RefSeq lists it as uncharacterized. The record is from RefSeq and is a predicted model, not a curated record. NCBI's taxonomy places the organism in Eukaryota, Metazoa, Chordata, Mammalia, Carnivora, Mustelidae. The transcript has 4 exons.